GUCAGUAAUUUCUCCCCUAGCAAGAAUGAGGAAGAUGAAGAGCUCGGGUAUCUGAGGGCUGGUGUGUCUGCAUGCGUGUGUGUUUUGGGGGCCGACUGAAGGAAGAGAAGGCUGGAGAGAGGGAACAUGGGUCUGAGGGCACAUCGCUAAGGGGUCAAGAGGCCUAAAGGAGGAGUCUAAGGCUCUCCAUCGAACUUGGACUUGGUCUACAUUAGACUUUAACCUCCAUGAGGCUUGGACUUUCAGGCUUCCUCCCUCACACCGCGGGCAGGUGAGGCGUCUGCUACAGGCCUGGUCUCGCAGAGGGGGCCCAGCGCCCCCCGCCGCCGCCUUCUCCUGGAGUCUGUGUGACAGAAUGGGACCUGUGGGAAAGCAGCACGUCAGCACCCAGCCCCGCUUGCGCGCCAGCAGCUAAUUAAAGCCAGGAAGGUGAUGGCGAUUUUCAACUCAUUCCCGUUACAAACAGCCGACCUUCCUACCGAGUUCAAGUACCUUCUGCCUGGCCUGGAAGAACAAUAUCUCUCUGUCUCCCUCUUCCACUGGCCCUCACCUGCCUUCCCCUGAACAUGCAUUUUGCCUGACAGGAGACAGAGGCAGUUGAUGCUUGCAGCUUGGUCCAGGAGGCCAGCAGGACCAGAGAGAAGACCACAGCGACACAUGGGGAUGGCUGUCCCACAGGCAGAAAUGAGCAGCCGGGAGGAAGCCCAGGCAGCCAGCCACCCAGCUCCCUCCACAUCGUGGCCCUAGAACGGAGUCUUGAAGAAUAAGAAGCCACAGCUUGUCAGGGAAUCAGGCUGGAAAAAUGUUAUGAGACUGAGUAAGACCAGAGUUUCUGGGUCAUUGGUGAGACUGGAUUUCAUAGAAGAGUCUUUGCUACAGCAAAACCUCUCUUCAAGCAAUACACUAUUCAAGCUGCUGGAGGCUAGAUUGACCAGAAAAAUGGGGCCAAUAUCAUGAUUCCUCAGCAGUGCCUGGAGAAGACCAGGAGAGGAAGCAGAAGACCCUCCUCAAAGAAGCAGCCUUCACCUCCAGACCUCCCAGCGGGACUUAGACAAUGGGGUUAGGCAGUCACAUGUCUGCACGUGGAAACUUUCUGGGACUGUGCUUGGAUCCUGGCUCUGCCUUUUACUAGCCAUGUGACCUUGGGAAAAUCACUUGACUUCUCCGUGCAGGAUUCCUCAUCUGUAAAAAUGGUCUAAGAUUAGGAGCCACCUCAAGGUUGUUGUAGGAAUUAAAUUAAUUCAUGUUUAUAAAGUGCUUUGAACAGCGUUUGGCACAUGGUAAGUGCUAUGUGGUAAGUGCUGUCUAUUGAUUACAUAAAUAAAAGUGAUCACCAUUAGACUUUC
RNAcentral lists this long non-coding RNA (1346 nucleotides) under Homo sapiens (human). Its description in RNAcentral is "long independently transcribed non-coding RNA 1605, transcript variant 11 (LINC01605)". Lineage: Eukaryota; Metazoa; Chordata; Mammalia; Primates; Hominidae. The record is from RNAcentral.